UUAAAAUGACGAGUUACAGCACUGGGCACUGAAUAUAUUCAUGAGUGACAAUGCUUUUCAGUGGGCUUAGAAACCCCACGCAACUGAUUUU
Molecule: small nucleolar RNA, 91 nt
Filed under: Huiozyma naganishii CBS 8797
Lineage: Eukaryota; Fungi; Ascomycota; Saccharomycetes; Saccharomycetales; Saccharomycetaceae
Source: RNAcentral